RNAcentral lists this ribosomal RNA (443 nucleotides) under uncultured bacterium. Its description in RNAcentral is "SSU rRNA". It matches the Rfam family "Bacterial small subunit ribosomal RNA", at positions 26 to 518 of the family's 1533-position model. The record is from RNAcentral.
AGAACGAACGCUGGCGGCAGGCUUAACACAUGCAAGUCGAGCGCCCAGCAAUGGGAGCGGCGGACGGGUGAGUAACACGUGGGAACAUGCCUUUCGGUACGGAACAACUUCGGGAAACUGAAGCUAAUGCCGUAUACGCCCUUACGGGGAAAGAUUUAUCGCCGAAAGAUUGGCCCGCGUCUGAUUAGCUAGUUGGUGAGGUAACGGCUCACCAAGGCUUCGAUCAGUAGCUGGUUUGAGAGAACGACCAGCCACACUGGGACUGAGACACGGCCCAGACUCCUACGGGAGGCAGCAGUGGGGAAUCUUGGACAAUGGAGGAAACUCUGAUCCAGCCAUGCCGCGUGAGUGAUGAAGGCCUUCGGGUUGUAAAACUCUUUUACCCGGAAGAUAAUGACUGUACCGGGAGAAUAAGCUCCGGCUAACUUCGCGCCAGCAGCCGC